This 85-nucleotide transfer RNA is filed under the name Felis catus (domestic cat). It matches the Rfam family "tRNA". Rfam says of the family: Transfer RNA (tRNA) molecules are approximately 80 nucleotides in length. Lineage: Eukaryota; Metazoa; Chordata; Mammalia; Carnivora; Felidae. The record is from Rfam by way of RNAcentral.
GCCUGGGUGGCUCAGUCGGUUAAGCAUCUGACUUCGGCUCAGGUCAUGAUCUUGCGGUUCGUGGGUUCGAGUCCCCCGUCGGGCC